GGGGUGGUGGCGCAGUUGGGAGCGCGUUAGACUGAAGCGAACUUCACUCAAUCAUCUAAAGGUCAUCGGUUCAAGCCCGAUUCAUCCCA
Molecule: transfer RNA, 89 nt
Filed under: Ustulina deusta
Lineage: Eukaryota; Fungi; Ascomycota; Sordariomycetes; Xylariales; Xylariaceae
Description: Kretzschmaria deusta tRNA-Phe
Rfam family: tRNA
About the family: Transfer RNA (tRNA) molecules are approximately 80 nucleotides in length. Their secondary structure includes four short double-helical elements and three loops (D, anti-codon, and T loops).
Source: RNAcentral